UACGAAGGGUGCAAGCGUUAUUCGAAAUUACUGGGCGUAAAGAGUGCGUAGACGGUAUGUUAAGUUCGUUGUUAAAGACUCUAGCCUAACUGGAGGGUUGCAAUGAAAACUGGCGCACUAGAGGGUGAGAGAGGGAAGUGGAAUUCCCGGAGUAGCGGUAGAAUGCGUGGAUCUCGGGAGGAACACCAAUGGCGAAGGCAGCUUCUUGGCUCAUUCCUGACGUUGAGGCACGAAAGCGUGGGGAGCAAACAGG
RNAcentral lists this ribosomal RNA (253 nucleotides) under uncultured bacterium. Its description in RNAcentral is "partial 16S ribosomal RNA". It matches the Rfam family "Bacterial small subunit ribosomal RNA", at positions 524 to 776 of the family's 1533-position model. The record is from RNAcentral.